Molecule: ribosomal RNA, 229 nt
Filed under: uncultured fungus
Lineage: Eukaryota; Fungi
Description: partial 18S ribosomal RNA
Rfam family: Eukaryotic small subunit ribosomal RNA
Source: RNAcentral
AAGAUUAAGCCAUGCAUGUCUAAGUAUAAGCACUUUAUACAGCGAAACUGCGAAUGGCUCAUUAAAUCAGUUAUAAUUUACUUGAUAGUACCUAUUUACUUGGAAUAACCGAGGAAAUCUUCAGCUAAUACAUGCUUACAUCCCUGACUGUUUGGAAAGGGAGUAUUUAUUAGAUAAAACCAAUGCCUUCGGGCUUUUGGAUGAUUCAUAGUAACUUUUCGAAUCGCAU